Desmophyllum pertusum is the source of this 75-nucleotide non-coding RNA. The record is from the annotation of a GenBank genome assembly. Lineage: Eukaryota; Metazoa; Cnidaria; Anthozoa; Scleractinia; Caryophylliidae.
GGUGGCCUGGCUAAUGGUUAGCGCAUUGGACUCUGGAUCGAGUGGUCUGGGUUUAAGCCCUGACCAGGGUCAUUG